Carassius auratus (goldfish) is the source of this 271-nucleotide long non-coding RNA. RefSeq lists it as uncharacterized. Lineage: Eukaryota; Metazoa; Chordata; Actinopteri; Cypriniformes; Cyprinidae. The transcript has 3 exons. The record is from RefSeq and is a predicted model, not a curated record.
CAGGAUUUUUCAUGUCUUUGCAUGCAGAAAAACACAGAAUUUCACAGAGAAGCACCACAGACGUCAUGAACAUCUAAGAUGGAGGAGAGUCGCCGUCCAGCUGGAUCUUCUGGAUGGAGAUCUCACUGCUGAGGAGAGUGUGAGGUUCAUGACGUGUGUCGGGACAGAUGUCAGGUGAUCAGCAUGCACUGCUUACAGGCAGUGAAUGUGAUUUACCCUGCUGUUUGGAAAACACCUUCCUCUGCCGCUGUAGACGUGGACCUCGCUCUAU